Molecule: ribosomal RNA, 254 nt
Filed under: uncultured bacterium
Lineage: Bacteria
Description: partial 16S ribosomal RNA
Rfam family: Bacterial small subunit ribosomal RNA
Source: RNAcentral
UACGGGGGGGGCAAGCGUUGUCCGGAAUUAUUGGGCGUAAAGAGCUCGUAGGCGGUGUGUCACGUCGGCCGUGAAAACCUGCAGCUUAACUGUGGGCGUGCGGUCGAUACGGGCAUCACUGGAGUUCGGCAGGGGAGACUGGAAUUCCUGGUGUAGCGGUGAAAUGCGCAGAUAUCAGGAGGAACACCGGUGGCGAAGGCGGGUCUCUGGGCCGAUACUGACGCUGAGGAGCGAAAGCGUGGGGAGCAAACAGG